UAGGGAAUCUUCCGCAAUGGACGAAAGUCUGACGGAGCAACGCCGCGUGAGUGAAGAAGGAUUUCGGUUCGUAAAACUCUGUUGUUAGGGAAGAAAAAAUGUAUAGUAACUAUAUACAAAAGAGACGGUACCUAACCAGAAAGCCACGGCUAACUACGUGCCAGCAGCCGCGGUAAUACGUAGGUGGCAAGCGUUGUCCGGAAUUAUUGGGCGUAAAGCGCGCGCAGGUGGUUUAGAAAGUCUGAUGUGAAAGCCCACGGCUCAACCGUGGAGGGUCAUUGGAAACUAAUAAACUUGAGUGCAGGAGAGAAAAGUGGAAUUCCUAGUGUAGCGGUGAAAUGCGUAGAGAUUAGGAGGAACACCGGUGGCGAAAGCGGCUUUUUGGCCUGCAACUGACACUGAGGCGCGAAAGCGUGGGGGGCAAACAGG
This 429-nucleotide ribosomal RNA is filed under the name Verrucomicrobiota bacterium. Its description in RNAcentral is "Verrucomicrobia bacterium partial 16S ribosomal RNA". It matches the Rfam family "Bacterial small subunit ribosomal RNA", at positions 355 to 776 of the family's 1533-position model. The record is from RNAcentral. Lineage: Bacteria; Pseudomonadati; Verrucomicrobiota.